Molecule: long non-coding RNA, 1165 nt
Organism: Bolinopsis microptera
Lineage: Eukaryota; Metazoa; Ctenophora; Tentaculata; Lobata; Bolinopsidae
Exons: 3
Source: RefSeq, a predicted model, not a curated record
UAUUUUGUAUCAUUAAUUUAGUUAUAUUCUCUCAAAACAACUUAUUCAAGUAGCUGUAGAUCAGUCCUGACAAAUGAUGACAGAGUUUACAAAAGCUUUGUUUUUUCUUGCGGUCAUCAGUCUGUCAGUCAGUCAGUCAUCAACUGUAGAACCGCUCGAGGGGGAGUUAAAACUUACAGUAGACGUGUUGGCCAGAAGUGACGAGAUGGGGUGUGAUGACUGUGAACUGGUGCUGGACAGGCUAAUCCAUACCAAGAUCACGUUGAUACCCGGUGACGAAUUUGCGGUCGCUGCAUACCUCACUAUGAACACAUUGCACUGUUUUGAAAAAUUCAGAAUACACCCUACGGGGGAUCCUGGACGCUACGAAGAAUUCCACUGCACAAAUUCUGGUUGUGAAUGCCCGGAUAAACCCUGUGAUGAAACCAUAACGAUGGUAGUAUCUGAUUUGCAAGACCAUAAUCCAGAUGAGUACCAAGAGUGCAAGGGGAUGCUAGGGACCAAUGCGGAGUUCAAAGUUAGAGAUGUAGUAGAAUAUGACAUAUACGAACUGGCAGUCGCUGGUCAUGUUGCAGAAAUUGCGGAGGGUCAAGAAAACGGCGGAGAGGAUCAAGAAAACGGCGGAGAGGGUCAGUACUCACUCGCAGUAUGUCAUUCCAUCAAUGUUGUCCUCUCGGUGACUAGUCUCCUGAUUGCCUUCUUCUUGCAGAUGUAGUAGAAUAUUGGAUGUGCGAACUGGUAGUCGUUGGUCAUGUUUCAGGAGAGAUCGAGUGGGCUGCCGUGACCAUACCAUCGAUUAUAAGGACGCACCCAUCAGAUCCUGAGCAGUUCGAUAAGUACCUUGAGACACCCUUGGUGACUCCAUAUCCCUGCCAUCAGCAGGCUGUUGAAAGAGGAUCAAUAAAACGGCGGAGAGGGUCAGUACUCACUCGCAGUAUGCAUCACUCCAUCAAUGUUGUCCUCUCGGUGACUAGUCUCUUGAUUGCAUUCUUCUUUAAGGAUAAUAGCAAAUAGGUUGUGCGAAAAAUGACAUUGCUGUGUAAUAUAUGGUUCACGGAAAAACAAUUUUUAGUUUAAGGGGGAAUUUUUAGGUAUUUCUUGUCAAUUUUGUUGUAGUAAAAUAUAUAAAGGUGUGUUUAGUCCGCAUUUGGGGCUUACUUAAUAA